CAGUAGCCACGGGAAUACGUAGGGCGCGAGCGUUGUACGGAAUUACUGGGCGUAAAGCGCACGUAGGCGGCUUUGUAAGUUAGAGGUGAAAGCCUGGAGCUCAACUCCAGAAUUGCCUUUAAGACUGCAUCGCUUGAAUCCAGGAGAGGUGAGUGGAAUUCCGAGUGUAGAGGUGAAAUUCGUAGAUAUUCGGAAGAACACCAGUGGCGAAGGCGACUCGCUGGACGAGUAUUGACGCUGAGGUGCGAAAGCGUGGGGAGCAAACAGGAUUAGAUACCCCAGUAGUCCCUGUCUCUUAUAC
RNAcentral lists this ribosomal RNA (301 nucleotides) under uncultured bacterium. RNAcentral's name for it is "partial 16S ribosomal RNA". It matches the Rfam family "Bacterial small subunit ribosomal RNA", at positions 509 to 807 of the family's 1533-position model. The record is from RNAcentral.